RNAcentral lists this ribosomal RNA (497 nucleotides) under uncultured bacterium. RNAcentral describes it as "partial 16S ribosomal RNA". It matches the Rfam family "Bacterial small subunit ribosomal RNA", at positions 28 to 507 of the family's 1533-position model. The record is from RNAcentral.
GAUGAACGCUGGCGGCGUGCCUAAUACAUGCCAGUCGAGCGAACGGACGAGAAGCUUGCUUCUCUGAUGUUAGCGGCGGACGGGUGAGUAACACGUGGAUAACCUACCUAUAAGACUGGGAUAACUUCGGGAAACCGGAGCUAAUACCGGAUAAUAUUUUGAACCGCAUGGUUCAAAAGUGAAAGACGGUCUUGCUGUCACUUAUAGAUGGAUCCGCGCUGCAUUAGCUAGUUGGUAAGGUAACGGCUUACCAAGGCAACGAUGCAUAGCCGACCUGAGAGGGUGAUAGGCCACACUGGAACUGAGACACGGUCCAGACCCCUACGGGAGGCAGCAGUAGGGAAUCUUCCGCAAUGGGCGAAAGCCUGACGGAGCAACGCCGCGUGAGUGAUGAAGGUCUUCGGAUCGUAAAACUCUGUUAUUAGGGAAGAACAUAUGUGUAAGUAACUGUGCACAUCUUGACGGUACCUAAUCAGAAAGCCACGGCUAACUACGUG